GACGAACGCUGGCGGCGUGCUUAACACAUGCAAGUCGAACGGAAAGGCCCUUCGGGGUACUCGAGUGGCGAACGGGUGAGUAACACGUGGGUGAUCUGCCCUGCACUUUGGGAUAAGCCUGGGAAACUGGGUCUAAUACCGAAUAGGACCACGCGCUUCAUGGGGUGUGGUGGAAAGCUUUUGCGGUGUGGGAUGGGCCCGCGGCCUAUCAGCUUGUUGGUGGGGUAAUGGCCUACCAAGGCGCCGACGGGUAGCCGGCCUGAGAGGGUGACCGGCCACACUGGGACUGAGAGACGGCCCAGACUCCUACGGGAGGCAGCAGGGGGGAAUAUUGCACAAUGGGCGCAAGCCUGAUGCAGCGACGCCGCGUGAGGGAUGACGGCCUUCGGGUUGUAAACCUCUUUCAAUAGGGACGAAGCGCAAGUGACGGUACCUAUAGAAGAAGCACCGGCCAACUACGUG
Molecule: ribosomal RNA, 462 nt
Filed under: uncultured bacterium
Lineage: Bacteria
Description: partial 16S ribosomal RNA
Rfam family: Bacterial small subunit ribosomal RNA
Source: RNAcentral